AACCAUAAGGCUAGAUCGUGACAGGUAAGCGAAAUCUUAGGAAAGUAGCGAAGCACAUGAUGACGGCUUCCAGGAAAAGCUUCUGGCAAUGCAUAUGCGGCCCGUACCAAAACCGACACAGGUGGGCAGGGAGAGAAUCCCGAGGUGAGCGAGAGAACUGUUGCCAAGGAACUCGGCAAAAUGACUCUGUAAGUUAGCGAGAAGGAGUGCUUAAGCAAUUAAGCCGCAGUGAAGAGGCCCAAGCGACUGUUUAACUAAAACACAGCUCUCUGCGAAGUCGCAAGACGAAGUAUAGGGGGUGACACCUGCCCGGUGCUGGAAGGUUAAGAGGAUCUGUUAAGAGCGAUCUGAAGCAGUGAUCCGAAGCCCCAGUGAACGGCGGCCGUAACUAUAACGGUCCUAAGGUAGCGAAAUUCCUUGUCAGGUAAGUUCUGACCCGCACGAAAGGUGUAACGAUUUGGGCGCUGUCUCGGCAGCAGACUCGGUGAAAUCUUAGUACCUGUGAAAAUGCAGGUUACCCGCAACUAGACGGAAAGACCCCAUGGAGCUUUACUGCAGCCUGAUAUUGAAUUCUGGUCAUACAUGUACAGGAUAGGUGGGAGACAAAGAGACGUGCACGCCAGUGUACGAGGAGUCGACGUUGGGAUACCACUCUUGUGUGACUGGGGUUCUAACCUGGUAUCGAGAACAGGUACGGGGAGAGUGUCAGGUGGGCAGUUUGACUGGGGCGGUCGCCUCCCAAAGAGUAACGGAGGCGCCCAAAGGUACGCUCAGAUUGGAUGGAAACCAAUCGUCGAGUGCAAUUGCAGAAGCGUGCUUGACUGUGAGACAGACAAGUCGAACAGGGACGAAAGUCGGGAAUAGUGAUCCGGCGGUGCCGAAUGGAAGGGCCGUCGCUCAACGGAUAAAAGCUACCCUGGGGAUAACAGGCUGAUCUCGCCCAAGAGUUCACAUCGACGGCGAGGUUUGGCACCUCGAUGUCGGCUCAUCGCAUCCUGGAGCUGGAUUCGGUUCCAAGGGUUGGGCUGUCCGCCCAUUAAAGCGGUACGCGAGCUGGGUUCAGAACGUCGUGAGACAGUUCGGUCCCUAUCUGUUGUGGGCGAAGGAGAUCUGCGGAGAGCUGUCCUCAGCACGAGAGGACCGGGAUGGACCUACCGCUGGUGCACCGGCUGUUCCGCCAGGGGCAUAGCCGGGUAGCUAAGUAGGGAAAGGAUAAGCGCUGAAAGCAUCUAAGCACGAAGCCUACUCCAAGAUGAGAUCUCCCAUUCGCAAGAAGUAAGACCCCUUAAAGACGAUAAGGUAGAUAGGCCAGGGAUGGAAGUGCAGUGACGUACGGAGUUGACUGGUACUAAUCGGUCGAGGACUUAAUC
Molecule: ribosomal RNA, 1370 nt
Filed under: metagenome
Description: bacterial LSU rRNA
Rfam family: Bacterial large subunit ribosomal RNA
Source: RNAcentral